GGGAGUAGUUCGUAGUCUGGUGGCGCGCUCGGUCUUCAAAACCGAUGGGGGAGGCAUCCCCUCCCUGGUGGGUUCGAUUCCCAUCUACUCCCGCCA
This 96-nucleotide transfer RNA is filed under the name Desulfuromonadales bacterium. RNAcentral's name for it is "tRNA-Sec". It matches the Rfam family "Selenocysteine transfer RNA". Lineage: Bacteria; Pseudomonadati; Thermodesulfobacteriota; Desulfuromonadia; Desulfuromonadales. RNAcentral also lists the same sequence under 1 other name. The record is from RNAcentral.